GUGAGGAAUAUUGGACAAUGGGCGAAAGCCUGAUCCAGCCAUGCCGCGUGAUAGAUGAAGGCCCUCUGGGUUGUAAAUAUCUUUUAUCUGGGAAGAAACUCCUCUAUUCUUAGAGGCCUGACGGUACCAGAGGAAUAAGCACCGGCUAACUCCGUGCCAGCAGCCGCGGUAAUACGGAGGGUGCAAGCGUUAUCCGGAUUCACUGGGUUUAAAGGGUGCGUAGGCGGGUUGAUAAGUCAGUGGUGAAAGCUCCGGGCUUAACUUGGAAACUGCCAUUGUUACUGUCAAUCUUGAAUGUCGUAGAGGUAAGCGGAAUGUUGCAUGUAGCGGUGAAAUGCUUAGAUAUGUUACAGAACACCAAUUGCGAAGGCAGCUUACUAUGCGAUAAUUGACGCUGAGGCACGAAAGCGUGGGGAGCAAACAGGAUUAGAAACCCGGGUAGUCC
RNAcentral lists this ribosomal RNA (445 nucleotides) under uncultured bacterium. RNAcentral describes it as "partial 16S ribosomal RNA". It matches the Rfam family "Bacterial small subunit ribosomal RNA", at positions 354 to 796 of the family's 1533-position model. The record is from RNAcentral.